Long non-coding RNA from Myotis myotis, 758 nucleotides. RefSeq lists it as uncharacterized. The record is from RefSeq and is a predicted model, not a curated record. Lineage: Eukaryota; Metazoa; Chordata; Mammalia; Chiroptera; Vespertilionidae. The transcript has 3 exons.
UGGGAGCCCUGGGUCCUGGGGCAGUCAUUCUGAUUGCAAAUGGCAGUUGGAGAGAACUGAACACCCUGAGGUCCCGGCUCCCACAGCUGAGGCGUAGCGCAUGGUAUUGCUAUGGAAACGGCCUUGCAAAGCCUGCUGGGAUCAUGCCUCGCUGGGACUGCCCCUCGCCCAGAGUCAGGCUCCGAGGUUAGCUGAUAUCUCACACGUCCAAGUUCAGCCAUGUUCUCAAGAAAAAGAAGCUGAUAACACCGUGUAUUAAAAAGAAAGAAAAACGUUCUGACCUACCAGGCUGCCGUCCACCCAUUCUCCAGAUGCAAACAUUGAGGUCCUUCACUUCUCGAGAGAGCACCAGCCUCCAGCACCAAAAUUCAUCACACUGCAGUUUUCUCAGGAAUUCCCCUCUGGCCCCAGCCCCCCAGGCCAGGUCAGCCCUCCCCGGACUCCUCUGCCUUCCUGCCUCCAGCCUCUCCCUGCCAGCCCAUCCGAGCCUGCUGCUUCCUUCCUCUCCUUAAAGCACCAGUUUUAUUAGGUGUCAGGGUUCUGCUCCCGAACCUUCCCUGGCUCCCACGGCUGAGGAGGUGCAGCUCAAAUCCCACAGCCUGCAUGUGAAGGUCUGUUUGUCUGGGACAGCCUGCUGCCCUGGCAUCAUGAAUAUGGCACCUCCUCGCCCGGCCGGCGUGGCUCAGUGAUUGAAUGUCCAUCGAUGAACCAGCAGGUCACAGUUCCAUUCCCGGUCAGGGCACAUGCCCAGGUUUCAG